CCACAUGUAAUGUCCAUGAUAUGUGUCUGAAAAAGAAUUGAGUGUGUUUCUGUUGUUUAUGUUGUUGCUGUCGUCCUUGUUGAGCAGUUGGGGGCAUAUUUUUCCUUUUUUUAUGGAGAACAGCCCUAGCUCCUCGAGAAAUGACCGGAAACUGAUCGAGAGAAACCGGCGACAUCAAAUGAAGGCCCUCUAUUCCCAGCUCAAUUCUGUUGUUCCCCAUCAGAGCUCAACGGAGGCAACAUCUCUUCCGGAUCAACUUCAUGAAGCGACUAAUUACAUCAAGAAGCUACAGAUUAACUUGGAGAAGAUGAAGGAAAAGAAAGAGAGAUUGUUAGGGAUCGAAGAGCUGAAUACAAGCAUGAAUUAUGGGAUGAAUGUAGCCUUAAGUUCGGCAGAAAUUGAGAUUCACCAAAAUGGUUCAGCUCUACAAGUCAUUCUCAUUACUGGGUUGGAUCAUCAGUUCAUGUUCAAUCGCGUCAUCACACUGCUUCACGAAGACGGGGCCGAGAUCUUAAACGUGAGCUUUUCCAUCCUGGGUGACAGAACAUUGCACUCGAUUCAUUGCGAGGUUGGGGACUGUGCACUGAGUCUUGAUUCCGCAAGAAUAUCCGAGAGAUUAAGGCAAUGUGUCCAAGAUAAUGCACGGAGAUGAUUUUUUCACACACUUGAUUUCUGAAGAGACUAUUGGCCCUUGGUAACAAUUCCUAUGAUGCCUGUUAGGGAAAAUGCGAACAGACUUGUAGGGAAAGCUCGAUUUCUCAUGGGGACGACAAAGUAAUCCACCCUGAUAGGACAAUAAUACAGUGAAAGCUGACUGAUAUCCAUCAAGGAAAAUAAAGCGGCACAUCUCUGUAACAAAGGGAAACGAGGUAAAGAAGCAAACCGAUGGUGAGAACUACGCUAGUU
Rhodamnia argentea is the source of this 906-nucleotide RNA transcript. It is a transcript of the gene named transcription factor bHLH162-like, with no coding region annotated. NCBI's taxonomy places the organism in Eukaryota, Viridiplantae, Streptophyta, Magnoliopsida, Myrtales, Myrtaceae. The record is from RefSeq and is a predicted model, not a curated record. The transcript has 4 exons.